This 468-nucleotide ribosomal RNA is filed under the name uncultured bacterium. Its description in RNAcentral is "partial 16S ribosomal RNA". It matches the Rfam family "Bacterial small subunit ribosomal RNA", at positions 28 to 507 of the family's 1533-position model. The record is from RNAcentral.
GACGAACGCUGGCGGCGUGCUUAACACAUGCAAGUCGAACGGAAAGGCCCUGCUUUUGUGGGGUGCUCGAGUGGCGAACGGGUGAGUAACACGUGAGUAACCUGCCCUUGACUUUUGGAUAACUUCAGGAAACUGGGGCUAAUACCGGAUAGGAGCUCCUGCUGCAUGGUGUGGGUGGGAAAGUUUCGGCGGUUGGGGAUGGACUCGCGGCUUAUCAGCUUGUUGGUGGGGUAGUGGCUUACCAAGGCUUUGACGGGUAGCCGGCCUGAGAGGGUGACCGGCCACAUUGGGACUGAGAUACGGCCCAGACUCCUACGGGAGGCAGCAGUGGGGAAUAUUGCACAAUGGGCGGAAGCCUGAUGCAGCAACGCCGCGUGCGGGAUGACGGCCUUCGGGUUGUAAACCGCUUUCGCCUGUGACGAAGCGUGAGUGACGGUAAUGGGUAAAGAAGCACCGGCUAACUACGUG